AGUGAGCGGCAAAGCUCAAAUUUGAAAUCUAGGCACCUUCGGUGUUCGAGUUGUAAUUUGAAGAUGGUAUCCUUGGGUUUGGCUCUUGUCUAUGUUCCUUGGAACAGGACGUCAUAAAGGGUGAGAAUCCCGUCCGAUGAGAUGCCCAUUCCUAUGGGAAGUGCUUUCCAAAAGUCA
This 177-nucleotide ribosomal RNA is filed under the name uncultured Wickerhamomyces. RNAcentral describes it as "partial 26S ribosomal RNA". It matches the Rfam family "Eukaryotic large subunit ribosomal RNA", at positions 104 to 267 of the family's 3401-position model. The record is from RNAcentral. Lineage: Eukaryota; Fungi; Ascomycota; Saccharomycetes; Phaffomycetales; Phaffomycetaceae.